This 25-nucleotide non-coding RNA is filed under the name Cricetulus griseus (Chinese hamster). Lineage: Eukaryota; Metazoa; Chordata; Mammalia; Rodentia; Cricetidae. The record is from RNAcentral.
GAGGGCGCGGUGUAGAACAGAAUCA